GGUAGAGGUAACAGAGCGAGAGACAGGUAGAGGGAGAGGUAAAAUAUGUAGAGAGGUAGAACUAACAUAUGUGAGGUAACAGAGAGAGACAGGCAGAGAGAGACAGGUAGAGAGAGAGGUAGAGGUAACAGAGAGAGGUAGAGGUAACAGAGAGAGGUGGGGGAGAGACAGGAGGAGAGGUAGAGGUAGAGGUAACAGAGAGAGGUAGAGAGGUAGAGGUAACAGAGAGAGGUGGGGGAGAGACAGGAGGAGAGGUAGAGGUAGAGGUAACAGAGAGAGGUAGAGAAGUAGAGGUAACAGAGAGAGGUGGGGGAGAGACAGGAGGAGAGGUAGAGGUAGAGGUAACAGAGAGCGGUAGAGAAGUAGAGGUAACAGAUAUGCGGUAACAGAGUCAGAUUGGAAUAGCAGGUGGCUCUGACCUACAAAUAAUCUGAGAGAAAUAAGAACAAUGAAAAGGAGGAAGAGAGGAGAAGAAAGUGA
Long non-coding RNA from Oncorhynchus tshawytscha (Chinook salmon), 480 nucleotides. NCBI's taxonomy places the organism in Eukaryota, Metazoa, Chordata, Actinopteri, Salmoniformes, Salmonidae. The record is from Ensembl.